CGGACGGGUGAGUAACGCGUGGGUAACCUGCCUUAUACAGGGGGAUAACAGUCAGAAAUGGCUGCUAAUACCGCAUAAGCGCACAGAGCUGCAUGGCUCAGUGUGAAAAACUCCGGUGGUAUAAGAUGGACCCGCGUUGGAUUAGCUGGUUGGUGGGGUAACGGCCCACCAAGGCGACGAUCCAUAGCCGGCCUGAGAGGGUGAACGGCCACAUUGGGACUGAGACACGGCCCAGACUCCUACGGGAGGCAGCAUG
RNAcentral lists this ribosomal RNA (256 nucleotides) under uncultured bacterium. RNAcentral's name for it is "partial 16S ribosomal RNA". It matches the Rfam family "Bacterial small subunit ribosomal RNA", at positions 99 to 353 of the family's 1533-position model. The record is from RNAcentral.